AUGAUUGGCCUCUUUUGGAACUGUAGGGGGGCAGGUAAGAAAGGCAUGUCUACCUGCCUCACUGACAUGAUUAAUGCCAAUGAGGUGGAUUUCCUUGGGUUGCAAGAAACUAUGAAGAGUAACUAUACUCCUUCCUUCUUUAGAAAAUUGGACCCACACCAAAAAUUUAUUUGGGAGUGGAUUCCAUCUAGGGGAAAUCUGGAGGUAUCCUAUGUGGGAUCAAUAAAGAUAAGUUUGAUAUCUUUGAGGUGA
RNAcentral lists this ribosomal RNA (252 nucleotides) under Triticum aestivum (bread wheat). RNAcentral describes it as "partial small subunit ribosomal RNA". Lineage: Eukaryota; Viridiplantae; Streptophyta; Magnoliopsida; Poales; Poaceae. The record is from RNAcentral.